This 792-nucleotide long non-coding RNA is filed under the name Marmota monax (woodchuck). The record is from RNAcentral. Lineage: Eukaryota; Metazoa; Chordata; Mammalia; Rodentia; Sciuridae.
CGAGCACCUAGGUUGGCUCCAUAACUUAGCUAUUGUAAAUGGAGCUGCUAUAAACAUUGAUGUGGCUGUGUCACAUAUUAUAUGCUGAUUUUAAAUCCUUUGGAUAUAUACCAAGGAGUGGGAUAGCUGGGUCAAAUAGUGGUUCCAUUCCUAGUUUCGCAAGGUAUUUCCAUAAUUCUUUCCAGAGUGUUUGCACCAGUUUGCAGUCCCACCAGCAAUGCGUGAGUGUAUUUCCCCCACCACACAUCCUUGCCAACAUGCAUUGUUACUUGUAUUCUUGAUAAUUGCCAUUCUAACUAGAGUGAGAUGAAAUAAGAAAAGAUAGCCUCUUCAACAAAUGGUGCUGGGAAAACUGGAAAUCCAUGUGUAGUAGAAUAAUAUUUAACCCCUAUCUCUCAUCUUUAAUCAACUCAAAGUGGAUCAAAGACCUAGGAAUUAGACCAGAAACCUUGCACAUACUGGGAGAACAUCUAGGCCCAAUAUUACAACAUAUGGGCUUAGAAACUGACUUUCUUAACAAGACUCCUAAAGCGCAAGAAGUAAAAUCGAAAAUCAAUAAAUGGGAUGACAUCAAACUAAAAAGCUUCUUCACAGCAAAGGAAAUAAUCAAGAAUAUGAGGAGCUGGGCUUGGUGUUGCAUGCCUGUGAUCCCAGCAACUGGGGAGGCUGAGGCAAGAGGAUCACCAGUACAAAGCCAGCCUCAGCAACUUAGUGAGGCCCUAAGAAAUUCAGCGACACCCUGUCUCUAAAUAAAAUAUUUUAAAAGGGCUGGAGGUGUGUCUCAGCAGUUUA